RNAcentral lists this transfer RNA (71 nucleotides) under Chilo auricilius. RNAcentral describes it as "tRNA-Cys". The record is from RNAcentral. Lineage: Eukaryota; Metazoa; Arthropoda; Insecta; Lepidoptera; Crambidae.
UGUCUUAUAUUCAAAUAAAUGAUAUAAAAUUGCAAAUUUUAAGUUAUAAUAAAUAAUUAUUAUUAAGGCUU